CUUUCUAUUAGCUUUCAGUGAGAUUACACAUGCAAGCAUCCACAGCCCUGUGAGAAUGCCCUCAACCAAAACAUNNNNGAGGAGCGAGUAUCAAGCACGCAUCAUGCAGCUCAAAACACUUUGCUUAGCCACGCCCCCACGGGAAACAGCAGUGAUAAACUUUUAGCAAUGAACGAAANGUUUAACUAAGCUACACUGACCACCAGAGUCGGUCAAUUUCGUGCCAGCCACCGCGGCCAUACGAUUGACUCGAGUUAAUAGAGCCCGGCGUAAAGGGUGUUUAAGACUUGAAUCCAAGUACAAUAAAGCUAACCUACAACUAAGUCGUAAAAAACCACAGUUGCAGUGAAAUAAACUACGAAAGUGGCUUUAACACUCUGAAUACACUAUAGCUAAGGUACAAACUGGGAUUAGAUACCCCACUAUGCUUAGCCCUAAACCUCAGUAACUCAACCAACAAACUUAUUCGCCAGAACACUACAAGCAACAGCUUGAAACUCAAAGGACCUGGCGGUGCUUUACAUCCGUCUAGAGGAGCCUGUUCUAUAAUCGAUACACCCCGAUAAACCUCACCACCUCUUGCCAUCAGCCUGUAUACCGCCAUCUUCAGCAAACUCCCUAAUGAUCGCAUAGUAAGCGGAAGUAUCAUCAUAAAAACGUUAGGUCAAGGUGCAGCCAAUGACGUGGGAAGAAAUGGGCUACAUUUUCUAAUUCAGAAAAUCAUACGAUANACCCUUAUGAAACU
This 745-nucleotide ribosomal RNA is filed under the name Saguinus bicolor (Brazilian bare-faced tamarin). RNAcentral's name for it is "partial small subunit ribosomal RNA". It matches the Rfam family "Bacterial small subunit ribosomal RNA", at positions 23 to 1274 of the family's 1533-position model. Lineage: Eukaryota; Metazoa; Chordata; Mammalia; Primates; Cebidae. The record is from RNAcentral.